AGAACAUUAGCUCAGUCAGUUGAGCGUGGCGCUAACAACGCACCAAGGUUGUGGGUUCGAUUCCCGUUUGGUCCC
RNAcentral lists this transfer RNA (75 nucleotides) under Apaloderma vittatum (bar-tailed trogon). It matches the Rfam family "tRNA". Rfam says of the family: Transfer RNA (tRNA) molecules are approximately 80 nucleotides in length. Their secondary structure includes four short double-helical elements and three loops (D, anti-codon, and T loops). Lineage: Eukaryota; Metazoa; Chordata; Aves; Trogoniformes; Trogonidae. The record is from Rfam by way of RNAcentral.